Molecule: ribosomal RNA, 801 nt
Filed under: uncultured Pelagibacteraceae bacterium
Lineage: Bacteria; Pseudomonadati; Pseudomonadota; Alphaproteobacteria; Candidatus Pelagibacterales; Candidatus Pelagibacteraceae
Description: bacterial SSU rRNA
Rfam family: Bacterial small subunit ribosomal RNA
Source: RNAcentral
CGCUGGCGGCACGCCUAACACAUGCAAGUCGAACGAAGUAGCAAUACUUAGUGGCAGACGGGUGAGUAACAUGUGGGUAUCUACCCUUUGGCCUGGAAUAACACGAGGAAACUUGUGCUAAUACUGGAUAAGUCUUUACAGAGAAAGCUUUAUGCACCGAUGGAUGAGCCUGCACUUGAUUAGUUUGUUGGUAGGGUAAUGGCCUACCAAGACUGUGAUCAAUAGCUGAUUUGAGAGGAUGAUCAGCCACAUUGGGACUGAGACACGGCCCAAACUCCUACGGGAGGCAGCAGUGGGGAAUCUUGCACAAUGGAGGAAACUCUGAUGCAGCGAUGCCGCGUGAGUGAAGAAGGCCCUUGGGUUGUAAAGCUCUUUCGUCGGGGAAGAAAAUGACUGUACCCGAAUAAGAAGGUCCGGCUAACUUCGUGCCAGCAGCCGCGGUAAUACGAAGGGACCUAGCGUAGUUCGGAAUUACUGGGCUUAAAGAGUUCGUAGGUGGUUGAAAAAGUUGGUGGUGAAAUCCCAGAGCUUAACUCUGGAACUGCCAUCAAAACUUUUCAGCUAGAGUUUGAUAGAGGAAAGCAGAAUUUCUAGUGUAGAGGUGAAAUUCGUAGAUAUUAGAAAGAAUACCAAUUGCGAAGGCAGCUUUCUGGAUCAAUACUGACACUGAGGAACGAAAGCAUGGGUAGCGAAGAGGAUUAGAUACCCUCGUAGUCCAUGCCGUAAACGAUGUGUGUUAGACGUUGGAAAUUUAUUUUCAGUGUCGCAGCGAAAGCGAUAAACACACCGCCUGGGGAGUAC